UGGGAGGAUGAUAUGAGCCUGUUUGGUGAGGAACUCCUGCAGUGGCGGGAUCCCCACUCAGAUACCUGAUGACAUACACAGGGGCCAUCUGACCAGAC
Small nucleolar RNA from Chanos chanos (milkfish), 98 nucleotides. RefSeq annotates it as small nucleolar RNA SNORD67. The transcript has a single exon. NCBI's taxonomy places the organism in Eukaryota, Metazoa, Chordata, Actinopteri, Gonorynchiformes, Chanidae. The record is from RefSeq and is a predicted model, not a curated record.